RNAcentral lists this long non-coding RNA (253 nucleotides) under Capsicum annuum. RNAcentral describes it as "long non-coding RNA (CANN_LNC014586)". The record is from RNAcentral. Lineage: Eukaryota; Viridiplantae; Streptophyta; Magnoliopsida; Solanales; Solanaceae.
GGUUAACAUGAAAGUAGAGCAACUAAACUAUGUGGACUACAACCCUGAGAAUAGUCCAAGAUACAAAAGAAAGAAAAAUGAAACAACAAAAUAAACUACCAAGACUCCUUCCUUGUGGGGAGAGGAGUGGCUUCCCAGUUAGUGAGCUUGAUAUUUGGCCCGACGAACUGCACAUCUGCAUGGCUAGGGCCUUCACCCAUCUGAACCAUGUUUAUUUCAUGAAACAUUUCCUUGAGAUCUUGACAUAUUUCAU